AGAAUAUAUUUAUGAAUUAUUUUAGUUCAAUUUUUCAUUGUAAAAUGAGGAACUUUAGGAUUUUAUUAAUUAGGAGUUUUAUAUUAUUUAGGAUUUUAUUAUUUAGUAAUUAGUAUUUUAUUUUAUUUAGGAAACUUGAGUUGGUUUGAGAUUUCUAAUUAGAAUUUGUUAAGUGUUUGCUUGUUUAGGCUUCCAAAUCCUAAUAUUAGUAGGAUUAAUAAACCUAUUAUAAAUGCCUAUAUCUUUUUAGUAUUUUGGUAGACCUUUUUCUAUGCUUAACAAUUGAUUAGGGAAUUAAUAAAAAUUGAGAAAUUUGUUUCUCUUUCCCUCUGUUCUAUCAGCUCUACAUUAAUUUGGUAUCAGAGCCUCUUCGAUCUGUUUUCUAUAAGCAAUUAGAAACCCUUUGAAAUUUUCCCUCAAGUUUACUGUUUUUUUCUUCACUGCCUCAGUUUUCCCUCUAACCUUCGCUGCUGCCCAUAAACCAAUGCCUGGUUUCCACCUACCAAUCCAUCAUUUUCCCCUUGACUAUUGUCCUCUUGUUAUUAAAAAAAAGAAAACAAAAAAUCUUGUUGCCUUUGCAAGCCUCACGUAGCCCAUUUAUUGUCCAUAACAAAUCCCCAUCACUGGGUCAUAGUCUCAUAGACCACUGUGCCCCCACCCAACUCCACUGUUGACCACUAGGCCAUUCCCCUGGAGCAAAUCCUGCCGCCAAACGCUACCUAGAAUCCUAGUUUUGUUCAGGUCAGGUUUGACCCAAAUUGCUUUCUGGCCUGAUUUCAGUGCUGUAGGCCUUACCUAAAACUUGCCACAUGCUGGCGAUGUCAUUCUUACUGUCGGAACUCACAUCUGAAGUCUCUGCAGCAAGAUCCAAUUGGGUAGGGUUGAGAUCCGCCUAGGAUUUGCAGCAAGCUCACAUUUCUUAUUGUGUUACCGCUGCACAGGAUUCCGUACCCAGUCUCACCAUGUCAUCCUGUGAUUCGUGCCUUGUUAGCCAUUUCAUUAACUGAUCACCUACCACUGUGGUAGACAGUUCCACAUCAGCAUCUGCCAGGUUAACAAAUUUUUGGUGGGAUCCCUUCUUUCUAAUUUUGACACACUGAUUUUGAUUUUGACAUCCAUUUUG
RNAcentral lists this unclassified non-coding RNA (1123 nucleotides) under Hevea brasiliensis (rubber tree). The record is from RNAcentral. Lineage: Eukaryota; Viridiplantae; Streptophyta; Magnoliopsida; Malpighiales; Euphorbiaceae.